AGUGAACGCUGGCGGCAGGCCUAACACAUGCAAGUCGAACGGCAACACAGUACGUGUUUGCUCUUCCGGGUGGCGAGUCGGGGGCGUGAGAGGUGUAUAUCGGACUCUACUUUUUCGGGGGGGAUCACGUAGGUAAGGUUACUACAAUACCGGAUAUGCCCUAGGGGGGAGAGGGGGGGAUCUUCGCGCCUUGCGGGGAUGAAUUAGCCGAUGUCGGACUUGCUAGUUGGCGGGGUAAAGGCCCAGCAUGUCGACGAUCCGUAGCUGGUCUGAGAGGAUGAUCAGCCACACUGGAACUGAGACACGGUCCAGACUCCUACGGGAGGCAGCAGUGGGGAAUAUUGGACAAUGGGCGCAAGCCUGAUCCAGCCAUACCGCGUGGGUGAAGAAGGCCUUCGGGUUGUAAAGCCCGUUUGUUGGGAAAGAACAGCAGCAGGUUAAUACCCCGCUGUUCUGACGGUACCCGAAGAAGAAGCACCGGCUAACUUCGUG
This 492-nucleotide ribosomal RNA is filed under the name uncultured bacterium. Its description in RNAcentral is "partial 16S ribosomal RNA". It matches the Rfam family "Bacterial small subunit ribosomal RNA", at positions 29 to 507 of the family's 1533-position model. The record is from RNAcentral.